GAUGAAGACGUAGCGAAAUGCGAUACGUAAUGUGAAUUGCAGAUUUCAGUGAAUCAUCGAAUCUUUGAACGCACAUUGCGCCCGCCAGUAUUCUGGCGGGCAUGCCUGUUCGAGCGUCAUUUCAACCAUCAAGCCUUCGCUUGUGUUGGGGCCCCGCGGCUGCCGCGGUCCCCUAAAUCCAGUGGCGGGCUCGUCGUCGUACCGAGCGCAGUAGACAUCCUCGCUCCGGGAACCCGACGGGUGCCGGCCGUGAAACCCCCCACAUCAAGGUUGACCUCGGAUCAGGUAGGAAUACCCGCUGAACUUAAGCAUAUCAAUAAGCGGAGGA
This 328-nucleotide unclassified non-coding RNA is filed under the name soil metagenome. RNAcentral's name for it is "partial contains 5.8S ribosomal RNA, internal transcribed spacer 2, and large subunit ribosomal RNA". The stretch from base 1 to 119 matches the Rfam family "5.8S ribosomal RNA", at positions 35 to 154 of the family's 154-position model. The record is from RNAcentral.